Bombina bombina (fire-bellied toad) is the source of this 581-nucleotide long non-coding RNA. RefSeq lists it as uncharacterized. The record is from RefSeq and is a predicted model, not a curated record. The transcript is spliced from 3 exons. NCBI's taxonomy places the organism in Eukaryota, Metazoa, Chordata, Amphibia, Anura, Bombinatoridae.
GGACUCUGUGGGAAAGCAACCAGAUGCAACGUGUGUGACAUCGUCUUAAAAUCAUUAGAGCGCUUUUCAUGAAGCCAGAGAGCGGAAGGAGGAAAUAGUCCAUUAGAAUUACAAAAUGAAGGAAUUGGAUCAAAAAACUGGUUCGGCAACCCAGGGAAUUCAAAAAGAAAGAGGACAGAAGUAUUAUAUUUAAAAGAGAAAGGAAAAUUCUCGCUAGAAACAAUUGCAGAUUCAGAGGUGCACAAUAGAGACCCUAAGUAUUUGGAAUUCCUUGGAAUAGAGCAUAUACAGAUAGAUAGGAGAAGAGGUGACAGAGAAAGAAGACUAAACCAGAAAGAAACAUUAUGGAUCUUGUACUUGGAUACCCUUCAAUCGAAGGGACUAAAUGAGAACUUUGAAUUGGUGUCUUUCUUAUAAAUAAUAUAUGUCUGAAAAUAGUUUAAAUGGCUGUUAGGUUCAAUUUGUAAAAAUGGAAAUAUGUUAUACAUUGAUUAGUAGUAGAUAAAACAAUGAGACCACACAAAAAAACAGAAAAGAACUUAAUUGUAUAUAUGAACGUGAGAAAUAUGUAAAAUUUUCAU